CUACGGGAGGCAGCAGUGGGGAAUAUUGCACAAUGGGCGCAAGCCUGAUGCAGCCAUGCCGCGUGUAUGAAGAAGGCCUUCGGGUUGUAAAGUACUUUCAGCAGUGAGGAAGGUGGGUAUGUUAAUAGCAUACUCAUUUGACGUUAGCUGCAGAAGAAGCACCGGCUAACUCCGUGCCAGCAGCCGCGGUAAGUACGGAGGGUGCGAGCGUUAAUCGGAAUUACUGGGCGUAAAGCGCAUGCAGGUGGUUUGUUAAGUCAGAUGUGAAAGGCCCGGGGCUCAACCUCGGAAUUGCAUUUGAAACUGGCAAACUAGAGUACUGUAGAGGGGGUAGAAUUUCAGGUGUAGCGGUGAAAUGCGUAGAGAUCUGAAGGAAUACCGGUGGCGAAGGCGGCCCCCUGGACAGAUACUGACACUCAGAUGCGAAAGCGUGGGGAGCAAACAGGAUUAGAUACCCUGGUAG
Molecule: ribosomal RNA, 463 nt
Filed under: uncultured bacterium
Lineage: Bacteria
Description: bacterial SSU rRNA
Rfam family: Bacterial small subunit ribosomal RNA
Source: RNAcentral